UAUGUUUUGUACAAUAAGAGAUGAGGUGUAAAGGUAUCUCGUGUUCAGCAGUGGCACGGCCUAAUUAUUAUUGAGUCAGUGCUCAAAGAAGGUGAAAAGCCUGUAUGGUUGCGCCGAUCUGUUGAACCGUGAUACUGGAGAGUCUAGUUGUUUGAGAGUACAACUUAAAGUUGGUGGUAAAUUUCAUCAAAGGCUAAAUAUACGAAGGGACUAAUAGCGAACAAGUACCAUGAGGGAAAGUUGAAAAGAACUCUGACGAGAGAGUUCAACAGUACGUGAAACCACAUUGAGUAAAACAGAUAACUGUGCUGUUAUGUGGUGUGCCUAUCAACAGUCACUUCGGCGUUGCCACGUUUUGGGUGUAGGCUGUCUAUUCAGCUGAAUGCCUACAACUAGCAUAGUCGGAGGUGCUGUGCACUAGUGCGCACUCGAUCAUUGAGAAGCUAUGCCGCUGCUGCAUCGGUAUGUGUCAGUCCGCACUUAGUGUGUAGUCACAUGCUGGGUUGUGCUAGCCUUGGCGUAGUUUAGCUGUGUGACAGCUGUGGGUUGCGUUUGUCGAUUGUAGCUGCUGUAUCUGCGAAUUGGUUUAUUCCUUUUUGCGGCGAGUAUGUUGCAGGACGCAAGCAGCCCGCCAUCAAUGGUUAGCAUUAGUUAUUUGACCCGUCUUGAAACACGGACCAAGGAGUUCAAAUGGCACGCGAGUCAUUGGGUUUAGUCACCCGAAGGCGAAGUGAAAUGCAAACGUAUUGUUAUUUGUGGUUGUUCCAUGAUUAAGCGAUAAGCUACUUAUGCUUUCUGGCAUUUGUAGACUACAAGCGUGAUGU
This 824-nucleotide ribosomal RNA is filed under the name Dermanyssus hirsutus. RNAcentral describes it as "eukaryotic LSU rRNA". It matches the Rfam family "Eukaryotic large subunit ribosomal RNA", at positions 124 to 808 of the family's 3401-position model. The record is from RNAcentral. Lineage: Eukaryota; Metazoa; Arthropoda; Arachnida; Mesostigmata; Dermanyssidae.